AACUGGGGGAUAGCCCACCGAAAGGUGGAUUAAUACCUCGUAACCUGGUGAAGUGGCAUCACUUUACCAGUAUAGCUCCGGCGGUUCAGGAUAGGCGUGCGGCCCAUUAGGUAGUUGGUAGGGGGUAACGGCCCACCAAGCCUGCGAUGGGUAACUGGUGUGAGAGCACGACCAGUCACACGGGCACUGAGACACGGGCCCG
Molecule: ribosomal RNA, 202 nt
Filed under: uncultured bacterium
Lineage: Bacteria
Description: partial 16S ribosomal RNA
Rfam family: Bacterial small subunit ribosomal RNA
Source: RNAcentral